UGUCAAUUUAAGCCUUAGUGAGUAGUAUGAAAUCCCGAAAUUCCGCGUAGGGAGGUUGGUUGGGGUAGUUGAUGGGUCAAACAACACAUGAAUUUCACC
Molecule: long non-coding RNA, 99 nt
Organism: Etheostoma cragini (Arkansas darter)
Lineage: Eukaryota; Metazoa; Chordata; Actinopteri; Perciformes; Percidae
Exons: 3
Source: RefSeq, a predicted model, not a curated record